ACCAAUGUGCUCAGUGGUUAGAGUGUCGGCCUGCAGACUCAAGGGUCCCAGGUUCGAUUCCUGUCAUGGGCA
This 72-nucleotide transfer RNA is filed under the name Myotis lucifugus (little brown bat). It matches the Rfam family "tRNA". From Rfam's summary of the family: Transfer RNA (tRNA) molecules are approximately 80 nucleotides in length. Their secondary structure includes four short double-helical elements and three loops (D, anti-codon, and T loops). The record is from Rfam by way of RNAcentral. Lineage: Eukaryota; Metazoa; Chordata; Mammalia; Chiroptera; Vespertilionidae.